RNAcentral lists this ribosomal RNA (547 nucleotides) under Streptococcus equinus. RNAcentral describes it as "bacterial SSU rRNA". It matches the Rfam family "Bacterial small subunit ribosomal RNA", at positions 885 to 1433 of the family's 1533-position model. The record is from RNAcentral. Lineage: Bacteria; Bacillati; Bacillota; Bacilli; Lactobacillales; Streptococcaceae.
ACCGCAAGGUUGAAACUCAAAGGAAUUGACGGGGGCCCGCACAAGCGGUGGAGCAUGUGGUUUAAUUNGAAGCAACGCGAAGAACCUUACCAGGUCUUGACAUCCCGAUGCUAUUCCUAGAGAUAGGAAGUUUCUUCGGAACAUCGGUGACAGGUGGUGCAUGGUUGUCGUCAGCUCGUGUCGUGAGAUGUUGGGUUAAGUCCCGCAACGAGCGCAACCCCUAUUGUUAGUUGCCAUCAUUAAGUUGGGCACUCUAGCGAGACUGCCGGUAAUAAACCGGAGGAAGGUGGGGAUGACGUCAAAUCAUCAUGCCCCUUAUGACCUGGGCUACACACGUGCUACAAUGGUUGGUACAACGAGUCGCGAGUCGGUGACGGCAAGCAAAUCUCUUAAAGCCAAUCUCAGUUCGGAUUGUAGGCUGCAACUCGCCUACAUGAAGUCGGAAUCGCUAGUAAUCGCGGAUCAGCACGCCGCGGUGAAUACGUUCCCGGGCCUUGUACACACCGCCCGUCACACCACGAGAGUUUGUAACACCCGAAGUCGGUGA